GGGGAGGGGGCGGCGGCAGCAGAGGCGACAUCGUUAUUUCCGUGGCCUGGGCGGUGCGUGGCGGCGCGGGUGGGCACAGGAGAAGUAGUGGGAAGGCAAACUGAGUCCUGGCAGGUGGUGGUCUGUUACAUGAGCAGCAGUAUCGUCAACGUGAGAUUUAAUUGCAUUAGAUAGCUUUUUGCAGUACCGUCCUUUGACUCAGAAAACUUCUGCUUAAACAGUCUAGCAUAAUGGUUAUGAAAGCUUCUGUAGAUGAUGAUGAUUCAGGAUGGGAGCUCAGUAUCCCUGAAAAAAUGGAAAAAAGCAAUACAAGCUGGGUGGACAUAACUCAAGAUUUUGAAGAAGCAUGUCGAGAGCUGAAGUUGGGAGAACUGCUUCAUGAUAAGCU
Molecule: non-coding RNA, 388 nt
Organism: Castor canadensis (American beaver)
Lineage: Eukaryota; Metazoa; Chordata; Mammalia; Rodentia; Castoridae
Source: RefSeq, a predicted model, not a curated record